Molecule: ribosomal RNA, 200 nt
Filed under: uncultured bacterium
Lineage: Bacteria
Description: partial 16S ribosomal RNA
Rfam family: Bacterial small subunit ribosomal RNA
Source: RNAcentral
AGAGUUUGAUCCUGGCUCAGAACGAACGCUGGCGGCAUGCCUAACACAUGCAAGUCGAACGAGAUCUUCGGAUCUAGUGGCGCACGGGUGCGUAACGCGUGGGAAUCUGCCCUUUGCUUCGGAAUAACAGUUAGAAAUGACUGCUAAUACCGGAUGAUGUCGUAAGACCAAAGAUUUAUCGGCAAAGGAUGAGCCCGCGU